Molecule: long non-coding RNA, 75 nt
Organism: Talpa occidentalis (Iberian mole)
Lineage: Eukaryota; Metazoa; Chordata; Mammalia; Eulipotyphla; Talpidae
Exons: 3
Source: RefSeq, a predicted model, not a curated record
CAGGUGAACUCCAGGCAAUUCUAGACCAGAGGAAGGCAGCUUACCUGGCUGCCUGGAGGAAGGCCCAGCUGUACG